CUCAAAGAUUAAGCCAUGCAUGUAUAUGUUUAAACUGCCAGACAGUGAAACUGCGGACGGCUCAUUACACCAGCUGUAAUUUACUUGACCUUGACAAGCUACUUGGAUAACUGUGGUAAUUCUAGAGCUAAUACAUGCACUAAAGCUCCGAUCCCCCCGGGGAGAGGAGUGCAUUUGUUUGCCACAAAACCAAGCGCCUCCGGGCGUUCUGUGUUGAAGCAGAACAACUCAGCUGAUCGCACAGUCUUGCACUGGCGACGUGUCUUUCAAGUGUCUGCCUUAUCAACUUUCGAUGGUAGUGUAUGGGCCUACCAUGGUGAUGACGGGUAACGGAGGAUAAGGGUUCGACUCCGGAGAAGGGGCCUGAGAAAUGGCCACUACGUCUAAGGAUGGCAGCAGGCGCGCAAAUUACCCACUCUCGACUUGAGGAGGUAGUGACGAGAAAUAACGAGACCGUUCUCUAUGAGGCCGGUCAUCGGAAUGGGUACAAUUUAAACCCUUUAACGAGUAUCUAUGCGAGGGCAAGCCUGGUGCCAGCAGCCGCGGUAAUUCCAGCUCGCAAAGUGCAUAGAAUUAUUGCUGCGGUUAAAAAGCUCGUAGUUGGAUCUGUGCCGGCUGCCCGGUCCGUCCUUUGUGGCGCGCGCUGGUGUCAGUCGGCUUUGCUGCCGGACUCUCCCCGACGCCGGCCUUCAUUGUGCAGGUGUCGGUGGGCUGGCGAGUUUACUUUGAACAAAUCAGAGUGCUUCAAACAGGCGUCUCGCCUGAAUGUUCGUGCAUGGAAUAAUAGAAGAGGAUCACGGUCCGAUUUUAUUGGUUUUGCUGACCGAGAUAAUGGUUAACAGAGACAAACGGGGCCAUUCGUAUUGCUGCGUGAGAGGUGAAAUUCUUGGACCGUAGCAAGACGGACUACAGCGAAAGCAUUUGGCAAGAAUGUCUUCAUUAAUCAAGAACGAAAGUCAGAGGUUCGAAGGCGAUCAGAUACCGCCCUAGUUCUGACCGUAAACGAUGCCAACUCGCGAUCCGCCGGCGGAUUCAUUCGCCCUGGUGGGGAGCGUCCCGGAAACGAAGGUCUUCCGGUUCCGGGGGAAGUAUGGUUGCAAAGCUGAAACUUAAAGGAAUUGACGGAAGGGCACCACCAGGAGUGGAGCCUGCGGCUUAAUUUGACUCAACACGGGGAAACUCACCCGGCCCGGACACCGUGAGGAUUGACAGAUUGAUAGCUUUUUCAUGAUUCGGUGGAUGGUGGUGCAUGGCCGUUCUUAGUUCGUGGAGCGAUUUGUCUGGUUUAUUCCGAUAACGAGCGAGACUCUGGCCUACUAAAUAGACGGCACAUUGCCGCUGUGUGCACGGCUUCUUAGAGGGAUUUUCGGUGUUCAGCCGCACGAAAUUGAGCAAUAACAGGUCUGUGAUGCCCUUAGAUGUCCGGGGCUGCACGCGCGCUACACUGGCAAACGCAGCGUGCUUGUUCUUCCCCGACAGGGGUUGGUAAACCGGUGAAAAUUUGCCGUGAUUGGGAUCGGAGAUUGCAAUUAUUUUCCGUGAACGAGGAAUUCCUUGUAGGGGCGAGUCAUCAACUCGCUCCGAAUACGUCCCUGCCCUUUGUACACACCGCCCGUCGCUGCCCGGGACUGAGCCAUUUCGAGAAACUCGGGGAUUGUUGGCCUUGGGGCUUUCGGGCUCCACCGCCGAUGAGAACCGAUUUAAUCGCAGUGGCUUGAACCGGGCAAAAGUCGUAACAAGGUAGC
RNAcentral lists this ribosomal RNA (1745 nucleotides) under Rotylenchus devonensis. RNAcentral describes it as "SSU rRNA". It matches the Rfam family "Eukaryotic small subunit ribosomal RNA". The record is from RNAcentral. Lineage: Eukaryota; Metazoa; Nematoda; Chromadorea; Rhabditida; Hoplolaimidae.